Molecule: ribosomal RNA, 324 nt
Filed under: Triticum aestivum (bread wheat)
Lineage: Eukaryota; Viridiplantae; Streptophyta; Magnoliopsida; Poales; Poaceae
Description: partial small subunit ribosomal RNA
Source: RNAcentral
AUGGUUUUGGAAACGCGUGCAGUUCCUCGUCCUCCCAAACUAGUAACGCAGUGGCUCGUUCAAUGGCUGAACAUGUCCCCGGAAGAAGCUACAUGGGAAGAUGCUAACUUCAUCAAGUUCACCUUCCCGGAGUUCUUCAACGCAACCAUCCGAGCGUGGUUCCAACAAAAGGAUCCUCGAGGGCAAGGAUCGUCUUCUGGGGAGGGCAAUUGUCAGGACCCUGCAACUCAAAUGCAGUUACCUGACGAACUGAACACCUUAACUGAAGAAAUCUGCAGCGAGGAUGAAGCGUUACUCACAUGGGAGAUGGACAGCCAAGAUUGA